Molecule: transfer RNA, 49 nt
Filed under: Anaecypris hispanica
Lineage: Eukaryota; Metazoa; Chordata; Actinopteri; Cypriniformes; Leuciscidae
Description: partial transfer RNA-Pro
Source: RNAcentral
CCCACCCCUGGCUCCCAAAGCCAGAAUUCUAAAUUAAACUAUCUUCUGA